This 429-nucleotide ribosomal RNA is filed under the name Pseudomonadota bacterium. RNAcentral's name for it is "Proteobacteria bacterium partial 16S ribosomal RNA". It matches the Rfam family "Bacterial small subunit ribosomal RNA", at positions 355 to 776 of the family's 1533-position model. The record is from RNAcentral. Lineage: Bacteria; Pseudomonadati; Pseudomonadota.
UGGGGAAUAUUGGACAAUGGGCGAAACCCUGAUCCAGCCAUGCCGCGUGUGUGAAGAAGGUCUUCGGAUUGUAAAGCACUUUAUGUUGGGAGGAAGGGUAUUAAGCUAAUACCUUGCUGUCUUGACGUUACUGACAGAAUAAGCACCGGCUAACUCUGUUCCAGCAGCCGCGGUAAUACAGAGGGUGCAAGCGUUAAUCGGAAUUACUGGGCGUAAAGCGCGCGUAGGUGGUUCGGUAAGUUGAAUGUGAAAGCCCCGGGCUCAACCUGGGAACUGCAUCCGAAACUGGCGGGCUAGAGUAGGGCAGAGGGUAGUGGAAUUUCCUGUGUAGCGGUGAAAUGCGUAGAUAUAGGAAGGAACACCAAUGGCGAAGGCGACCACCUGGGCUAAUACUGACACUGAGGUGCGAAAGCGUGGGGAGCAAACAGG